UGAAACCAAAGCACAGGAGAUGUUUACAUAAAGAAUUGUUACUACAGAGAGGUUACUGUGAUAGACUGCCGUUAUUAUCUUCCUGAGUGCCUGGACUGGGUGACGGUGUUUGAUAAAUCCUACUUGGUGUUCGGUGCAUCCAAUAUCUCUCGGUCUUGGACUGUCAAUUUAUCGAGUCCGGCUUCCUGUAAAAACUUUACCCCAUCAUGUGGAUCAUCGCGGGACGAUUCAUAAAACUUCCUGAAGUGGUCAGCCAUUAUAUUUUUAAUUAAGUUGGUGUCAUGGGUCCAACCAUCAGGUGUCUUAAUUUUCUGGAUAUAGGGGUUGCGGGCCUUACUUUUAGCUAUACGUGCCAGUAGUUUUCCUGAUUUGUUACCAUACCUGUAGAAUUUGUUAGCGAUAUGACUGAUUGAUUUGUGUGCCUUUUCCGUUAAUAAAAUGUCAAAAAGU
This is a long non-coding RNA of Xenopus laevis (African clawed frog), 450 nucleotides long. RefSeq lists it as uncharacterized. The transcript has 3 exons. The record is from RefSeq and is a predicted model, not a curated record. Lineage: Eukaryota; Metazoa; Chordata; Amphibia; Anura; Pipidae.